This is a non-coding RNA of Hordeum vulgare subsp. vulgare (domesticated barley), 139 nucleotides long. The record is from Rfam. Lineage: Eukaryota; Viridiplantae; Streptophyta; Magnoliopsida; Poales; Poaceae.
CCGAUGGACGAUGACCAACUCAUCUCCCACAUCCUCACCGGCCUUGACAUGGAGUAUCAGCCGCUGGUCUCAGCGCUUGAUUCCCGCACCAUCCCGGUCAUGCUUGAUGAGCUUUUUUCUCAGAUGAGCAACUUUCAUU